RNAcentral lists this ribosomal RNA (657 nucleotides) under Enterococcus gallinarum. RNAcentral describes it as "bacterial SSU rRNA". It matches the Rfam family "Bacterial small subunit ribosomal RNA", at positions 50 to 680 of the family's 1533-position model. Lineage: Bacteria; Bacillati; Bacillota; Bacilli; Lactobacillales; Enterococcaceae. The record is from RNAcentral.
UGUAGUGGCAGGGGGAACGCUUUUUCUUUCCCGGAGCUUGCUCCACCGAAAGAAAAAGAGUGGCGAACGGGUGAGUAACACGUGGGUAACCUGCCCAUCAGAAGGGGAUAACACUUGGAAACAGGUGCUAAUACCGUAUAACACUAUUUUCCGCAUGGAAGAAAGUUGAAAGGCGCUUUUGCGUCACUGAUGGAUGGACCCGCGGUGCAUUAGCUAGUUGGUGAGGUAACGGCUCACCAAGGCAACGAUGCAUAGCCGACCUGAGAGGGUGAUCGGCCACACUGGGACUGAGACACGGCCCAGACUCCUACGGGAGGCAGCAGUAGGGAAUCUUCGGCAAUGGACGAAAGUCUGACCGAGCAACGCCGCGUGAGUGAAGAAGGUUUUCGGAUCGUAAAACUCUGUUGUUAGAGAAGAACAUGGAUGAGAGUAAAAUGUUCAUCCCUUGACGGUAUCUAACCAGAAAGCCACGGCUAACUACGUGCCAGCAGCCGCGGUAAUACGUAGGUGGCAAGCGUUGUCCGGAUUUAUUGGGCGUAAAGCGAGCGCAGGCGGUUUCUUAAGUCUGAUGUGAAAGCCCCCGGCUCAACCGGGGAGGGUCAUGGGGGGCUGGGAGACUUGAGUGCAGAACAGGAAAGUGUAAUUCCAUGUGUAGCG